GGCUGUAAGUAUUACAGCAAGCUUGCUAUUCGAAAGGCGCUUGGUGUUAUAUCUUACAGUGAG
RNAcentral lists this microRNA precursor (63 nucleotides) under Aedes aegypti (yellow fever mosquito). RNAcentral's name for it is "Aae-Mir-971_pre stem-loop". Lineage: Eukaryota; Metazoa; Arthropoda; Insecta; Diptera; Culicidae. The record is from RNAcentral.